RNAcentral lists this ribosomal RNA (405 nucleotides) under uncultured beta proteobacterium. RNAcentral's name for it is "bacterial SSU rRNA". It matches the Rfam family "Bacterial small subunit ribosomal RNA", at positions 958 to 1365 of the family's 1533-position model. Lineage: Bacteria; Pseudomonadati; Pseudomonadota; Betaproteobacteria. The record is from RNAcentral.
AACGCGAAAAACCUUACCUACCCUUGACAUGGAUGGAAUCCCGGAGAGAUUUGGGAGUGCUCGAAAGGGAACCAUUACACAGGUGCUGCAUGGCUGUCGUCAGCUCGUGUCGUGAGAUGUUGGGUUAAGUCCCGCAACGAGCGCAACCCUUGUCAUUAGUUGCUACGAAAGAGCACUCUAAUGAGACUGCCGGUGACAAACCGGAGGAAGGUGGGGAUGACGUCAAGUCCUCAUGGCCCUUAUGGGUAGGGCUUCACACGUCAUACAAUGGUACAUACAGAGGGCCGCCAACCCGCGAGGGGGAGCUAAUCCCAGAAAGUGUAUCGUAGUCCGGAUUGUAGUCUGCAACUCGACUGCAUGAAGUUGGAAUCGCUAGUAAUCGCGGAUCAGCAUGUCGACCGGUAA